This 273-nucleotide ribosomal RNA is filed under the name uncultured bacterium. RNAcentral's name for it is "partial 16S ribosomal RNA". It matches the Rfam family "Bacterial small subunit ribosomal RNA", at positions 524 to 796 of the family's 1533-position model. The record is from RNAcentral.
UACGGAGGGUGCGAGCGUUACUCGGAGUCACUGGGCGUAAAGCGUCCGUAGGCGGUCGGGUAAGUCGGGUGUGAAAGCCCCGGGCUCAACCUGGGAAGUGCACCCGAUACUGCUCGACUCGAGUGCGGGAGAGGAUGGCGGAAUUCCCGGUGUAGCGGUGAAAUGCGUAGAGAUCGGGAGGAACACCAGUGGCGAAGGCGGCCAUCUGGCCCGCAACUGACGCUGAGGGACGAAAGCGUGGGGAGCAAACAGGAUUAGAAACCCUAGUAGUCC